RNAcentral lists this unclassified non-coding RNA (299 nucleotides) under fungal sp. RNAcentral describes it as "partial internal transcribed spacer region". The stretch from base 1 to 46 matches the Rfam family "Eukaryotic small subunit ribosomal RNA", at positions 1786 to 1831 of the family's 1831-position model. The record is from RNAcentral. Lineage: Eukaryota; Fungi.
AAGUCGUAACAAGGUUUCCGUAGGUGAACCUGCGGAAGGAUCAUUAUUGUAUUUUAACCACUUUCCAGUGGCAAACUUUGUGAACUGUAACAUGCAACUUGCAGUCAGUAGAGCAGUGGUAGCAGCGGACGUGAGGGAGUUGCCGGUUAAUCUGCCAGUCUGGCAGCGACACUGGCUCUACUUCCGCCGGCUCUGCCCUGCCAACUGCUGCGUUUUACACGUGUACAACUUAAACUUUAAACUUAAGCUUCUUGUAUAUAACUUAAAUACAACUUUUAGCAACGGAUCUCUUGGCUCUC